This 443-nucleotide ribosomal RNA is filed under the name uncultured bacterium. RNAcentral describes it as "partial 16S ribosomal RNA". It matches the Rfam family "Bacterial small subunit ribosomal RNA", at positions 338 to 795 of the family's 1533-position model. The record is from RNAcentral.
CCUACGGGCGGCAGCAGUGGGGAAUAUUGGACAAUGGGGGGAACCCUGAUCCAGCGACGCCGCGUGAGUGAAGAAGUAUUUCGGUAUGUAAAGCUCUAUCAGCAGGGAAGCAAGAAAUGACGGUACCUGACUAAGAAGCCCCGGCUAACUACGUGCCAGCAGCCGCGGUAAUACGUAGGGGGCAAGCGUUAUCCGGAUUUACUGGGUGUAAAGGGAGCGUAGACGGCGAUGUAAGUCUGAAGUGAAAGGCGGGGGCCCAACCCCUGGACUGAUUUGGAAACUGUAUGGCUGGAGUACAGGAGAGGUAAGUGGAAUUCCUAGUGUAGCGGUGAAAUGCGUAGAUAUUAGGAGGAACACCAGUGGCGAAGGCGGCUUACUGGACUGUAACUGACGUUGAGGCUCGAAAGCGUGGGGAGCAAACAGGAUUAGAUACCCCUGUAGUC